Molecule: transfer RNA, 72 nt
Filed under: Selaginella moellendorffii
Lineage: Eukaryota; Viridiplantae; Streptophyta; Lycopodiopsida; Selaginellales; Selaginellaceae
Rfam family: tRNA
About the family: Transfer RNA (tRNA) molecules are approximately 80 nucleotides in length. Their secondary structure includes four short double-helical elements and three loops (D, anti-codon, and T loops).
Source: Rfam by way of RNAcentral
GUCGAUGUAGUAUAGUGGUGAGUAUUUCCGCCUGUCACGCGGACGACCCGGGUUCGAUCCCCGGCAUCGGCU